This 62-nucleotide transfer RNA is filed under the name unidentified. RNAcentral's name for it is "Dimorphopterus gibbus tRNA-Cys". The record is from RNAcentral.
GAUCCUAUAGUCAAUAUAUGAUAUUAGAUUGCAAGUCUGAAGUAGUAAUUAUACUAGGAUUU